RNAcentral lists this ribosomal RNA (254 nucleotides) under uncultured bacterium. RNAcentral's name for it is "partial 16S ribosomal RNA". It matches the Rfam family "Bacterial small subunit ribosomal RNA", at positions 524 to 776 of the family's 1533-position model. The record is from RNAcentral.
UACGGAGGGUGCGAGCGUUGUCCGGAAUCACUGGGCGUAAAGGGCGCGUAGGCGGCCUGAUAAGUAGGGGGUGAAAUCCUGCGGACUUAACCGCAGGGCUGCCUUCUAAACUGUCAGGCUUGAGCACAGUAGAGGCAGGUGGAAUUCCCGGUGUAGCGGUGGAAUGCGUAGAGAUCGGGAAGAACAUCAGUGGCGAAGGCGGCCUGCUGGGCUGUUGCUGACGCUGAGGCGCGACAGCGUGGGGAGCAAACAGG